UACGUAGGGGGCGAGCGUUGUCCGGAUUUAUUGGGCGUAAAGAGCGUGUAGGCGGCUUGGUAGGUCUCGCGUCAAAACCUGCGGCUCAACCGCAGUUCGCGUGGGAAACCACCUAGCUAGAGUCCGGAAGAGGAGAACGGAAUUCCCAGUGUAGCGGUGAAAUGCGCAGAUAUUGGGAAGAACACCAGUGGCGAAGGCGGUUCUCUGGGACGGUACUGACACUGAGACGCGAAAGCGUGGGGAGCGAACAGG
This 252-nucleotide ribosomal RNA is filed under the name uncultured bacterium. RNAcentral describes it as "partial 16S ribosomal RNA". It matches the Rfam family "Bacterial small subunit ribosomal RNA", at positions 524 to 776 of the family's 1533-position model. The record is from RNAcentral.